AAAACUGCCGGAAUAGC
RNAcentral lists this transfer RNA (17 nucleotides) under Niphotrichum ericoides. Its description in RNAcentral is "partial tRNA-Phe". Lineage: Eukaryota; Viridiplantae; Streptophyta; Bryopsida; Grimmiales; Grimmiaceae. The record is from RNAcentral.